This 518-nucleotide ribosomal RNA is filed under the name Enterobacter sp. MBCC40262. Its description in RNAcentral is "bacterial SSU rRNA". It matches the Rfam family "Bacterial small subunit ribosomal RNA", at positions 53 to 562 of the family's 1533-position model. Lineage: Bacteria; Pseudomonadati; Pseudomonadota; Gammaproteobacteria; Enterobacterales; Enterobacteriaceae. The record is from RNAcentral.
AACUGCAAGUCGAACGGUAGCACAGAGAGCUUGCUCUCGGGUGACGAGUGGCGGACGGGUGAGUAAUGUCUGGGAAACUGCCUGAUGGAGGGGGAUAACUACUGGAAACGGUAGCUAAUACCGCAUAACGUCGCAAGACCAAAGAGGGGGACCUUCGGGCCUCUUGCCAUCAGAUGUGCCCAGAUGGGAUUAGCUAGUAGGUGGGGUAACGGCUCACCUAUGCGACGAUCCCUAGCUGGUCUGAGAGGAUGACCAGCCACACUGGAACUGAGACACGGUCCAGACUCCUACGGGAGGCAGCAGUGGGGAAUAUUGCACAAUGGGCGCAAGCCUGAUGCAGCCAUGCCGCGUGUAUGAAGAAAGCCUUCGGGUUGUAAAGUACUUUCAGCGAGGAGGAAGGCGUUGAGGUUAAUAACCUCACCGAUUGACGUUACUCGCAGAAGAAGCACCGGCUAACUCCGUGCCAGCAGCCGCGGUAAUACGGAGGGUGCAAGCGUUAAUCGGAAUUACUGGGCGUA